RNAcentral lists this transfer RNA (112 nucleotides) under Thermoproteota archaeon. RNAcentral describes it as "tRNA-Leu". The record is from RNAcentral. Lineage: Archaea; Thermoproteati; Thermoproteota.
GGACCGGUAGGAUUUGAACAGCUCCUUUUCUUAGCCGUCAGUUUGAUAAUCAAUAAAAAGCUGCAUUAGAAAUAUGCUGAGGUCGUGGGUUCAAAUCCCACCACACGGUCCA